Daphnia pulicaria is the source of this 2253-nucleotide RNA transcript. It is a transcript of the gene named FGGY carbohydrate kinase domain-containing protein-like, with no coding region annotated. NCBI's taxonomy places the organism in Eukaryota, Metazoa, Arthropoda, Branchiopoda, Diplostraca, Daphniidae. The transcript has 14 exons. The record is from RefSeq and is a predicted model, not a curated record.
GUGAUUUGAUUGACAUUAAAUACGCUGACACACCUGCUGAUGUGAUAAGACAUCAUGUAUCUAAAAAACUAUUAUUGGUCUAUCGAAAUCGAAAGAUAUACUAUCCCUUAUCGAUCACCAUUAUCUUUGCCAUGUCCUAGUUAAAAACACAAUAAUAGUAUCCUUUUUUAAUAACCUUAGGGAACGUUCAACACUGUUCACUUGAGACCAGGCGGUGAAAUCAAACGUAAAGAUGGCGGUAUAUUUCAUUGGUGUCGACGUUGGGACAGCAAGUGUGAGAGCUGGAAUUUUUGAUCAAACCGGCCGAUUGCUGCAAAAUGCGACCCACGAGAUAAAGAUUUGGAAUCCAAAAGGAACGAAAGGCGAUUUUUAUCAACAGUCAUCUGAUGAUAUUUGGGAAUCUUGCUGCAAAGUCAUUAAAGAAGUGGUUGAGGGCAUUGAUGCAGAUUCUGUUGCAGGAAUUGGGUUUGAUGCUACAUGUUCGCUGGUGGCUCUUGACAAUGAAGAUAAGCCAAUAACGGUUAGCCCAACAGGGGAACACGAGCAAAAUGUUAUCAUGUGGAUGGACCACAGAGCAGUCCAGGAGACUGAAGUCAUCAAUGCUUUGAAUCAUUCUGCCUUUCAAUAUGUCGGAGGAAAAGUUUCCAUUGAGAUGCAGCUUCCAAAACUUCUUUGGCUUAAAAGAAAUCUCUGUGAAACUUGGUAUCAGACUAAGAAAUUCAUGGACCUGCCAGACUUUCUGACAUGGAAGGCCACUAAUAGUGAUGCUAGAUCCCUUUGCAGUGUGGUAUGCAAAUGGAACUACAUAGUUGAUGAAUCUGGGUGUCACGGUUGGCCCAGUGACUUGUUUGAGCUAGUUGGACUACAAGAACUUUUAGAAAACAAUGCAAGUCUCAUUGGAAGCAACAUCAAAUUCCCUGGCUCUCCACAAGGCUCAGGUCUGACAUUUUCUGUUGCCCAUGAGUUGGGAUUAAAACCAGGCACUCCGGUCGGCACUUCCCUGAUUGAUGCAUAUGCAGGAGCCCUUGGAUUAUUUGCUUGUCAUGCCGAUGCUCCAGUGGAUCAGAGACUAGCACUCAUUUGCGGUACUUCAACGUGCCAUAUGCUGAGCGUAUCUCAACCGACAUUUGUCAAUGGAGUGUGGGGUCCAUACGCCGAUGUCUUACUGCCGGGAAUGUGGUUGUUGGAAGGCGGGCAAAGCGCUACUGGGAAAUUAUUGGACCAUAUCGUCGAGACGCAUCCGUGUUAUACGUCGUUAAAAGAGCGAUUGCCGUCAACGAUUUCCAUUGCCGAAGAACUUUCUCGAAUCCUCCAUACCAUGUCACGCCCGACUGGACGACCCGUUUCCAAUUUGACUAAAGAUGUCCAUGUGUGGCCGGAUUUUCAUGGCAAUCGCUCUCCUUUAGCGGACCCUAAUGUUAAAGGCAUGAUUUGCGGUAUGACUUUGGACGCGUCAGAAGAGAACCUAGCGUUGCAUUACCUGGCCACCAUUCAGGCUUUAUGCUAUGGGACUCGUCAUAUAAUCGAAUCUAUGAGAGAACGCGACGUGGAAAUUGGGUGUUUGUUGCUUUGCGGUGGAUUGACCAAAAUCGACUUGUUCGCUGUCACUAUGGCCGACGCCGUUGGUCUGCCCGUUGUUCUCCCCAACAAGAAAGAGUCUGUUCUUCUCGGUUCAGCGAUGCUGGGAGCCUGCGCUUCAACGCAUUUCUCCUCUCUCAACGAAGCAAUGAUCAAAAUGGGUGGUCAUGGAAAAACAAUUCAACCGAACCAACAAGACAGAAAGUUCCACGAUCGCAAGUACAGAGUGUUUAUGAAAAUGCUGCAGGACCAAAAAGAUUAUGAAAAGAUCAUGAACUCCAACUAAAUUGCAAUCAUGAUUCCGUUAUCGGUGCAUAGCUUCGGCGGUGGGCAAACAAGGGUGUAGCCCAUUUCGGCGCAGAUAAUGCUCAGGUAUUUGCGGAAGUAGUCGUUGCAUGCCACGCCUCCGGAUACAACCUAGGUUAACCAAUCGUUUUUGUAUCCCAUCAUCAGGAUGUUGGGCUUCACUUUACCAACGCCAGAAAGGCCCAGCAUGGCCGCCACGCCCGUGUGGAGAUUUGAAUUAUCCGCAACGGAACAGAAUCCUUUGAUGUUGGUGAAUCGCAGUGUCUUACCUGGUUUUCGAUAGAGGACCACCAUGUAGAAAAACGAGACAAUGCCAAUUGUUAUCAUGGCUAUAGGAAGACUGAUGAGGAUCAUGGAGGCGACGGACAA